This is a long non-coding RNA of Notolabrus celidotus (New Zealand spotty), 569 nucleotides long. RefSeq lists it as uncharacterized. The record is from RefSeq and is a predicted model, not a curated record. The transcript is spliced from 3 exons. NCBI's taxonomy places the organism in Eukaryota, Metazoa, Chordata, Actinopteri, Labriformes, Labridae.
AGGACACUGAGACCCAGAACACUUAGACCCAGCACACUGAGACCCAGAACACUUAGACCCAGAACACUUAGACCAGGACACUGAGACCCAGAACACUUAGACCCAGCACACUGAGACCCAGAACACUUAGACCCAGCACACUGACACCCAGAACACUUAGACCCAGCACACUGAGACCAGCGCAAUUAGACCCAGAACACGUAGACCCAGCACACAGUCCGGAUCUCCUGCUGCAGCUUCGGGUCUUGUUGACAGGAGUCACACUGCGCUGAGCGCCGCCAUGUUGAAACCGCAGUGCAUUCUGGGAGGCGUAGUCUUCGAACAGAGGAAGAAGAAGAACCAGAAGUUGAUCUGACCCACUUCUCUCUUUAAACGUCACCUGCUCCGACUCCCAAUCUGUGGCCCUCGCCUCAGAGCUCCAGCCUCACAGCUCUCUGCCAUUUGAACAUCUGACAGGAGAAGACAAACAAUCCAGGACAACCCAGACUCUUUCAGACUCCAGAGAUGGACUCUGGGAUGUCUUUAAGCUUAAAGUGGGAGCCGUCCCACGCCCUGAUUUAUUCUGAUAU